This 1328-nucleotide long non-coding RNA is filed under the name Chrysemys picta bellii (western painted turtle). Its description in RNAcentral is "lncRNA (ENSCPBG00000005793.1)". Lineage: Eukaryota; Metazoa; Chordata; Testudines; Emydidae. The record is from RNAcentral.
UCAUUUUUCCCCCCAUCUGUGAUGGGCAUAAACUGGAUAAUAAUCUAUGGAAUAAAAACAUUUGUUUGCUUAAUCCAGACGUACUUUGACACAAACUGCUGCUGUAGGUGAAGAAUAUUCUUUGCCUUGCAGCUCUCCAGUUGGAGGGGCCAUGAGGGAAUGUUUCGAUUCCUGCUCCACCGCAGACUCCGUGUGACCAUGGGAAGUCGCUGAGUCUGUCUGUGCCCCAGCUCUAUCCGUACAAUGGGGACAAGACCACUUCCUUCCUCUCAGAGGUGUGGUGAGGAUAAAUGCACUAGACUGUGAGGCACUCGGUGAAGCGGGCCAUACCUAACAUAAAUAAAUGGAGACGGCCCAUCCGUAAUAGGAGAAGAAGUGCCUCGCGCCUUGGCAAUGUGACGCCACGUGUCUGGAACCUGCAUCUGACCUUGCGUCUGCCACGGGCAGCAGAGGAGCCGCAGUCGUCACUACUAGAGGCAACGAUGCCCCACCCAUCAGAUUGCAAGCAUGCAGUUAACAUACAAGAUUCCAGCUCUCUCCACUGCUGUUAACUUUUCCCCAGCAUGCAUUAUCUGGAAUGAAGUGGAGCUAUAUUUUCCCCAUCUUGUGAAACACACUGUCCAUAUUCUCACCGCAGUUAUUCCCAUCUACCAAGAUGAACCAGCACCAAUUGAAAUGGCUUUGAGUGGAGAUGGAAGCAUACCAGAAUACCAAAUGCACAUACUCCCCCUCCCCACACAACUCUGCACAUGCUCAGGAUAUCAAGGAUCCGCUCUGUCUCGUGCUCAGGAUCAAAGAGUCCAGUUAUGGUCCCACAGCCACUUAGGAAAAUGAAAAGAACAUUUUUGUUUCUUCCUUCGGAAGUGUUCAAAAUAUUGAUGGCCGUUAAAAGUGCUUAAAGCCAAGAGAAUUUUGACUUCUAACAGACUGAUCUUGAAAGCCUGCUUUCACUCUGAGGAAAACAGACUCAUUAAACUCAACUGGGGCAAAAUGCUACACUCUGAUGCAGGCAAUGUACCUCAAUUCCCAGCACAUGUGUAGAACUCAGUCAGAUCAUAGGAAUGGUCCUUUCAGUCUGGCAUCUUGUCUCCAACACCACCAGUACCAGAUACUUCAAAGGAAGGUGCAAGAAACCUCAUUUUGGACAAUGAUGGAAUAACCCACCCGGAUGGAGAGUUUCUGGUGUGAGCAGAGGUGUGGGUGAGAAGAAUUGUGCAUACUCCUGCAGUGCCGGAGCCAGAAGGACUUGGAGAGACUCAAGCUCACAAGAUUGCCACAUCUGAAACCCGCGACUUCAACUUCCCAGCCUCUUAUGGGACAGAACUGAU